CCUACGGGAGGCAGCAGUGGGGAAUUUUGGACAAUGGGCGCAAGCCUGAUCCAGCAAUGCCGCGUGCAGGAUGAAGGCCUUCGGGUUGUAAACUGCUUUUGUACGGAACGAAACGGUGAGCUCUAAUACAGUUUGCUAAUGACGGUACCGUAAGAAUAAGCACCGGCUAACUACGUGCCAGCAGCCGCGGUAAUACGUAGGGUGCGAGCGUUAAUCGGAAUUACUGGGCGUAAAGCGUGCGCAGGCGGUGAUGUAAGACAGAUGUGAAAUGCCCGGGCUCAACCUGGGACCUGCAUUUGUGACUGCAUCGCUAGAGUACGGUAGAGGGGGAUGGAAUUCCGCGUGUAGCAGUGAAAUGCGUAGAUAUGCGGAGGAACACCGAUGGCGAAGGCAAUCCCCUGGACCUGUACUGACGCUCAUGCACGAAGACGGUGGGGAGGACGAAACAAGGAGUAGUAUACCUACGGUAGUCCACCGACCCUAAACCGAACUGUACAACUAGGUUGGUUGGGUUCGUUCUACUGACUCAGUAACGAAGACUAACGACGUGAAGUUAGACCGCCGCGGGAGGUACGGCCGCGAGGUUAGUAAACGUACAAAGUAGAAGUUAGUACGGACGUGAGGACGNGCCGACGGACGACGACGAGGGGAGGGUAGGGAG
RNAcentral lists this ribosomal RNA (661 nucleotides) under uncultured bacterium. RNAcentral describes it as "bacterial SSU rRNA". The stretch from base 1 to 563 matches the Rfam family "Bacterial small subunit ribosomal RNA", at positions 338 to 873 of the family's 1533-position model. The record is from RNAcentral.